ACGCGUGUCUGGCUGAGUUGCAGUCGAUUUCGCAUUCACUUCGUUCUUCACACUGCUGCGUGCCGGCAGAAUGGCCCAUAAGCAGAUUUACUACUCGGACAAGUAUUUCGAUGAGCACUACAAGUAUCAGUAUAUUAUGCUGCCCAGAGAACUGUCCAAACAAGUACCCAAAACUCAUCUGAUGUCUGAAGAGGAAUGGAAUACACUUAGGGUCCAGCAGAAUCUAGGCUGGGUUCAUUACAUGAUUCACGAGCCAGAACCACAUAUUCUUCUGUUCAGACGACCUCUUCCAAAAGAACAACAAAAAUGAAAUGUAUCUUGGAUCAACAGCUAAAUCUUUUUCAAAUUUAAUGUAUAUGUGUAUAUAAGGUAGUAUUCAGUGAAUACUUGAAAAAUGUACAAAUCAUUCUUCCAUACCUGUGCAUGAGCUGUAUUCUUCACAGCAACAGAGUUCAGCUAAA
RNA transcript from Octodon degus (degu), 461 nucleotides. It is a transcript of the gene named cyclin-dependent kinases regulatory subunit 2 pseudogene, with no coding region annotated. NCBI's taxonomy places the organism in Eukaryota, Metazoa, Chordata, Mammalia, Rodentia, Octodontidae. The record is from RefSeq and is a predicted model, not a curated record. The transcript has a single exon.